ACACCUCAACUCUCAUGGUUUGCCAUGAUGAGCUUGGACUUUGGGGGUUUUGCUGGCCUGUGGUCGGCUCCUCUCAAACGAAUCAGCCUGCCAGUGUUUGGUGGCAUCACGAGUGUGAUAACUAUCUGCGCUUGUGGUUUUCCACCUGUUAACCUUUGGUGACGAAGGUUCGCUGGAGCUCAUAAACGUCCCUCCUCUGCGAGGACAAUUUUUUAAU
RNAcentral lists this unclassified non-coding RNA (217 nucleotides) under uncultured Tomentella. Its description in RNAcentral is "sequence contains ITS2". Lineage: Eukaryota; Fungi; Basidiomycota; Agaricomycetes; Thelephorales; Thelephoraceae. The record is from RNAcentral.